UCCGUAGGGCGCAAGCGUUGUCCGGAAUUAUUGGGCGUAAAGAGCUCGUAGGCGGCUUGUCACGUCGGAUGUGAAAGCCCGGGGCUUAACCCCGGGUCUGCAUUCGAUACGGGCUAGCUAGAGUGUGGUAGGGGAGAUCGGAAUUCCUGGUGUAGCGGUGAAAUGCGCAGAUAUCAGGAGGAACACCGGUGGCGAAGGCGGAUCUCUGGGCCAUUACUGACGCUGAGGAGCGAAAGCGUGGGGAGCGAACAGG
This 253-nucleotide ribosomal RNA is filed under the name uncultured bacterium. RNAcentral describes it as "partial 16S ribosomal RNA". It matches the Rfam family "Bacterial small subunit ribosomal RNA", at positions 524 to 776 of the family's 1533-position model. The record is from RNAcentral.